UCAGAAUAAAGUUAGCAGCAGCAACUCUACUAUUGAUCUCCCCUUGGCCUGCCCAGUUGUCUCUUCCCAGUUUCCUUUUGUAGCUGUGACAGUGGCUGUGGCUCUGACUGUUGGAAUUCUCACAUUACUUCUUGCACUGUUUGUCGGUAUUAACCAUCUACUCAAGAAACGAAGAUCCAGAUUUGAUACUUCAGAAAACGGUGACGAGGGUGUUGUAUACGCUGAUGUGAAAAUAGGCAAGCAAACAAAUCCAGC
Molecule: long non-coding RNA, 255 nt
Organism: Coregonus clupeaformis (lake whitefish)
Lineage: Eukaryota; Metazoa; Chordata; Actinopteri; Salmoniformes; Salmonidae
Exons: 3
Source: RefSeq, a predicted model, not a curated record